RNAcentral lists this ribosomal RNA (253 nucleotides) under uncultured bacterium. RNAcentral describes it as "partial 16S ribosomal RNA". It matches the Rfam family "Bacterial small subunit ribosomal RNA", at positions 524 to 776 of the family's 1533-position model. The record is from RNAcentral.
UACGUAGGGGGCUAGCGUUGUCCGGAUUUAUUGGGCGUAAAGAGCGUGUAGGCGGCCAGGUAGGUCUGCUGUGAAAACUCGAGGCUCAACCUCGAGACGUCGGCGGAAACCAUCUGGCUAGAGUCCGGAAGAGGAGAGUGGAAUUCCUGGUGUAGCGGUGAAAUGCGUAGAGAUCGGAAGGAACACCAGUUGCGAAGGCGGCUACCUGGCCUGGUACUGACACUGAGGCACGAAAGCGUGGGGAGCAAACAGG